AACUUUCAACAACGGAUCUCUUGGUUCUGGCAUCGAUGAAGAACGCAGCGAAAUGCGAUAAGUAAUGUGAAUUGCAGAAAGAAUUCAGUGAAUCAUCGAAUCUUUGAACGCACAUUGCGCCCCCUGGUAUUCCGGGGGGCAUGCCUGUUCGAGCGUCAUU
Molecule: ribosomal RNA, 160 nt
Filed under: Phacidiopycnis sp. stklk6
Lineage: Eukaryota; Fungi; Ascomycota; Leotiomycetes; Phacidiales; Phacidiaceae
Description: 5.8S ribosomal RNA
Rfam family: 5.8S ribosomal RNA
About the family: 5.8S ribosomal RNA (5.8S rRNA) is a component of the large subunit of the eukaryotic ribosome. It is transcribed by RNA polymerase I as part of the 45S precursor that also contains 18S and 28S rRNA.
Source: RNAcentral